RNAcentral lists this ribosomal RNA (940 nucleotides) under uncultured Gammaproteobacteria bacterium. RNAcentral describes it as "bacterial SSU rRNA". It matches the Rfam family "Bacterial small subunit ribosomal RNA", at positions 1 to 867 of the family's 1533-position model. Lineage: Bacteria; Pseudomonadati; Pseudomonadota; Gammaproteobacteria. The record is from RNAcentral.
GACUCCCUAUAGGGGGAAUUUGGGCCGACGUCGCAUGCUCCCCGGCCGCCAUGGCGGCCGCGGGAAAUUCGAUUAGAGUUUGAUCAUGGCUCAGAUUGAACGCUGGCGGCAGGCUUAACACAUGCAAGUCGAGCGGUAACAUUUCUAGCUUGCUAGAAGAUGACGAGCGGCGGACGGGUGAGUAACACUUAGGAAUCUACCUAGUAGUGGGGGAUAGCUCGGGGAAACUCGAAUUAAUACCGCAUACGACCUACGGGAGAAAGGGGGCAACUUGUUGCUCUCGCUAUUAGAUGAGCCUAAGUCGGAUUAGCUAGUUGGUGGGGUAAAGGCCUACCAAGGCGACGAUCUGUAGCUGGUCUGAGAGGAUGAUCAGCCACACCGGGACUGAGACACGGCCCGGACUCCUACGGGAGGCAGCAGUGGGGAAUAUUGGACAAUGGGGGCAACCCUGAUCCAGCCAUGCCGCGUGUGUGAAGAAGGCCUUUUGGUUGUAAAGCACUUUAAGCAGUGAAGAAGACCUAACGGUUAAUACCCGUUAGCGAUGACAUUAGCUGCAGAAUAAGCACCGGCUAACUCUGUGCCAGCAGCCGCGGUAAUACAGAGGGUGCAAGCGUUAAUCGGAAUUACUGGGCGUAAAGCGAGCGUAGGUGGCUUGAUAAGUCAGAUGUGAAAUCCCCGGGCUUAACCUGGGAACUGCAUCUGAUACUGUUAGGCUAGAAUAGGUGAGAGGAAGGUAGAAUUCCAGGUGUAGCGGUGAAAUGCGUAGAGAUCUGGAGGAAUACCGAUGGCGAAGGCAGCCUUCUGGCAUCAUAUUGACACUGAGGUUCGAAAGCGUGGGUAGCAAACAGGAUUAGAUACCCUGGUAGUCCACGCCGUAAACGAUGUCUACUAGUCGUUGGGUCCCUUGAGGACUUAGUGACGCAGCUAACGCAAUAAGUAG